GCCCGAAGUGGUUGUGCCGUUUUCGCUUUCUUUCAACAAAAUAAUAAAAUACGUACAUUUAUACGUACAAUUUAUUUUAAUUAAUAUUAUAAAUACAUUACAAUGAUAUCUAACGUAGUCUGUAGAGCAUAUAUAGCCUUGAUUCUGCUAGAUAAGUCUGGUAUCCUUGCGAAAGACUCACAUUCAUUCACCAAGAAUAGGUGCCUGAAUCCCCCUCGUACUGCCCGCCGAGUGGAAUCUUUUAUACAGGAGUGUCAAGAGGAAGUCAAAAAUAAACUAAUUAGCGAAGCUUACUACAUUCUAAAAAGUCAAGUAAAAAAUGAAAAUACAGCAUUGGACAUUACUGUAGAUAACAUCUCGGAGAUUAAUUCGGCUCCCGCACCAGUUCCUGUUCAAUCGAUUAUUUUCCAUACCAUCGAAGAAAACUCUAAGUUAGCGUCUCAACAUGAUGCAUAUCAAUUUCAACCAGAGAGGCAACAAGUGACCAGUUUGAUGAACCACAUUCGACGCAUUUCAUAUAACGCGCGUAGUGCCCUUUAUUAUCCUACAUUGGUACCCGCGGAGGAAAAACGUUUAGCUGGCUGCCUGUUACACUGCGUUUAUGCGAAAAAUAAAGCUAUCGACAAACUGGGAUGGCCUACUCUUGACGGCUUAGUAAACUUUUACUCAGAAGGAGUGAAUGAACACGGUUUUUUUAUGGCCACACUCCGAUCCGUAAAUCUCUGCCUGCAUGCAAUUACAAUAAAGUAUAAUAUCGAUCGACGCAAACUACCAAAACGUGGUGAAAGCUGUGAUUUAGCCUUCGACGUGUUCGAUUGUAUUUCAGACCAACUAACGGGUUAUUGCUUAAAUCAAUACGAAUAACAUUUCUCAAUUAAUACUUGUAAAUAACUUUUAACGACUAGAUAUCCGAAUAACCUUCGAACUACCAGUAAAAUUUACGAACGUAAAAAAUUCAUUGGCCUACAUAUUCUUUACAAAAGGGAUCUCAAACCAUCUUGGAACCACCAAAGGAUUUGUUGAAAGCAUGCUACUUCAAUUAUCAAAAUCCGUUAUGAUGUAACAAAAUUUACAUUUAGCCUACUCUCAUUUUUAUAUAAUAUAUAAACAGUAAAUGUAUUGCUUAGAAAAAUUCAGAUUAUUAAGAUUUUGACAAUUGCAAAAAUAAAGACUUUUUCUAUUAUUUUUGAA
RNAcentral lists this unclassified non-coding RNA (1191 nucleotides) under Bactrocera latifrons. RNAcentral's name for it is "general odorant-binding protein 70, transcript variant X3". The record is from RNAcentral. Lineage: Eukaryota; Metazoa; Arthropoda; Insecta; Diptera; Tephritidae.